Molecule: ribosomal RNA, 745 nt
Filed under: uncultured bacterium
Lineage: Bacteria
Description: bacterial SSU rRNA
Rfam family: Bacterial small subunit ribosomal RNA
Source: RNAcentral
ACGCUGGCGGCAGGCCUAACACAUGCAAGUCGAGCGGUAGAGAGAAGCUUGCUUCUCUUGAGAGCGGCGGACGGGUGAGUAAUGCCUAGGAAUCUGCCUGGUAGUGGGGGAUAACGUUCGGAAACGGACGCUAAUACCGCAUACGUCCUACGGGAGAAAGCAGGGGACCUUCGGGCCUUGCGCUAUCAGAUGAGCCUAGGUCGGAUUAGCUAGUUGGUGAGGUAAUGGCUCACCAAGGCGACGAUCCGUAACUGGUCUGAGAGGAUGAUCAGUCACACUGGAACUGAGACACGGUCCAGACUCCUACGGGAGGCAGCAGUGGGGAAUAUUGGACAAUGGGCGAAAGCCUGAUCCAGCCAUGCCGCGUGUGUGAAGAAGGUCUUCGGAUUGUAAAGCACUUUAAGUUGGGAGGAAGGGCAGUUACCUAAUACGUGAUUGUUUUGACGUUACCGACAGAAUAAGCACCGGCUAACUCUGUGCCAGCAGCCGCGGUAAUACAGAGGGUGCAAGCGUUAAUCGGAAUUACUGGGCGUAAAGCGCGCGUAGGUGGUUUGUUAAGUUGGAUGUGAAAUCCCCGGGCUCAACCUGGGAACUGCAUUCAAAACUGACUGACUAGAGUGUGGUAGAGGGUGGUGGAAUUUCCUGUGUAGCGGUGAAAUGCGUAGAUAUAGGAAGGAACACCAGUGGCGAAGGCGACCACCUGGACCAACACUGACACUGAGGUGCGAAAGCGUGGGGAGCAAAC